UAGCAUUGGUGGCCGUAUUCUUGAUUCAUUUAGGAGUUCAUUGACUCCUAAAUGUGUGCAAGCUCUUAUUUGUGUUCAAGAUUGGCUUAGAGAAGAGAAGAAUCCUAUUAGUGUUGAAGAAGACUUGAAGUAUCUUGAGGAACUCGAGCUUGAUAUGGAAAAUAAUGGAAGCACUACUAGCAUUGUUUGAUGUAUAGUUGCAACUUGCAUCUUGAGUGGUUCAAGUGCAAUCAUGUCU
Nicotiana tabacum (common tobacco) is the source of this 238-nucleotide long non-coding RNA. RefSeq lists it as uncharacterized. NCBI's taxonomy places the organism in Eukaryota, Viridiplantae, Streptophyta, Magnoliopsida, Solanales, Solanaceae. The record is from RefSeq and is a predicted model, not a curated record.